Molecule: ribosomal RNA, 324 nt
Filed under: uncultured bacterium
Lineage: Bacteria
Description: bacterial SSU rRNA
Rfam family: Bacterial small subunit ribosomal RNA
Source: RNAcentral
GACGAACGCUGGCGGCGUGCUUAACACAUGCAAGUCGAACGGGGUGCCUAUGAAAGAGAUUUCGGUCAAUGGAUUAGGUUACUUAGUGGCGGACGGGUGAGUAACGCGUGAGGAACCUGCCUUUCAGAGGGGGACAACAGCUGGAAACGGCUGCUAAUACCGCAUGACACAUAUUUAUCGCAUGGUAGAUAUGUCAAAGAUUUAUCGCUGAGAGAUGGCCUCGCGUCUGAUUAGCUAGUUGGUAGGGUAACGGCCUACCAAGGCGACGAUCAGUAGCCGGACUGAGAGGUUGGCCGGCCACAUUGGGACUGAGAUACGGCCCAG